Molecule: ribosomal RNA, 503 nt
Rfam family: 5.8S ribosomal RNA (bases 150-303)
CCGAGUUUACAACUCCCAAACCCCUGUGAACAUACCUAUACGUUGCCUCGGCGGAUCAGCCCGCGCCCCGUAAAAAGGGACGGCCCGCCCGAGGACCCCUAAACUCUGUUUUUAGUGGAACUUCUGAGUAAAACAAACAAAUAAAUCAAAACUUUCAACAACGGAUCUCUUGGUUCUGGCAUCGAUGAAGAACGCAGCAAAAUGCGAUAAGUAAUGUGAAUUGCAGAAUUCAGUGAAUCAUCGAAUCUUUGAACGCACAUUGCGCCCGCCAGUAUUCUGGCGGGCAUGCCUGUUCGAGCGUCAUUUCAACCCUCAAGCUCAGCUUGGUGUUGGGACUCGCGGUAACCCGCGUUCCCCAAAUCGAUUGGCGGUCACGUCGAGCUUCCAUAGCGUAGUAAUCAUACACCUCGUUACUGGUAAUCGUCGCGGCCACGCCGUAAAACCCCAACUUCUGAAUGUUGACCUCGGAUCAGGUAGGAAUACCCGCUGAACUUAAGCAUAUC